CCUACGGGUGGCUGCAGUGAGGAAUAUUGGUCAAUGGGCGCGAGCCUGAACCAGCCAAGUAGCGUGAAGGAUGACUGCCCUACGGGUUGUAAACUUCUUUUAUAGAGGAAUAAAGUGAGGCCCGUGUGCCUUUUUGUAUGUAUUUUAUGAAUACGGAUCGGCUAACUCCGGGCCAGCAGCCGCGGUAAUACGGAGGAUCCGAGCGUUAUCCGGUUUUAUUGGGUUUAAAGGGAGAGUAGAUGGGUUGUUAAGUCAGGUGUGAAAGUUUGCGGCUCAACCGUAAAAUUGCAAUUGAUACUGGCAGCCUUGAGUACAGUUGAGGUAGGCGGAAUGCGUGGUGUAGCGGUGAAAUGCUUAGAUAUCACGAAGAACUCCGAUUGCGAAGGCAGCAUACUAGACCGCCACUGACACUGAGGCUCGAAAGCGUGGGUAUCAAACAGGAUUAGAUACCCUGGUAGUC
Molecule: ribosomal RNA, 460 nt
Filed under: uncultured bacterium
Lineage: Bacteria
Description: partial 16S ribosomal RNA
Rfam family: Bacterial small subunit ribosomal RNA
Source: RNAcentral